This is a non-coding RNA of Polyplosphaeria fusca, 85 nucleotides long. The record is from the annotation of a GenBank genome assembly. Lineage: Eukaryota; Fungi; Ascomycota; Dothideomycetes; Pleosporales; Tetraplosphaeriaceae.
GGAGUCUUGGCGCAAUGGUAGCGCGUUGGUUUUCGGUCCUACUGAAAUGCACCAAAGGUUGUGGGUUCGAGCCCCAUGGACUUCG